Molecule: transfer RNA, 58 nt
Filed under: Metacrangonyx dhofarensis
Lineage: Eukaryota; Metazoa; Arthropoda; Malacostraca; Amphipoda; Metacrangonyctidae
Description: tRNA-Cys
Source: RNAcentral
AAAUAUGAAGUGAUAUCACGAUAAGCUGCAAACUUAUAAAUGCAUAUAGCCAUAUUUA